AGAGUUUGAUCCUGGCUCAGAAUGAACGCUGGCGGCAGGCCUAACACAUGCAAGUCGAACGGAUCCUUCGGGAUUAGUGGCGGACGGGUGAGUAACGCGUGGGAACGUGCCCUUUGGUUCGGAAUAGCCUCGGGAAACUGGGAGUAAUACCGAAUGUGCCCUUCGGGGGAAAGAUUUAUCGCCAAAGGAUCGGCCCGCGUUGGAUUAGGUAGUUGGUGGGGUAAUGGCCUACCAAGCCGACGAUCCAUAGCUGGUUUGAGAGGAUGAUCAGCCACACUGGGACUGAGACACGGCCCAGACUCCUACGGGAGGCAGCAGUGGGGAAUCUUAGACAAUGGGGGAAACCCUGAUCUAGCCAUGCCGCGUGAUCGAUGAAGGCCUUAGGGUUGUAAAGAUCUUUCAGAUGGGAAGAUAAUGACGGUACCAUCAGAAGAAGCCCCGGCUAACUCCGUGCCAGCAGCCGCGGUAAUACGGAGGGGGCUAGCGUUAUUCGGAAUUACUGGGCGUANAGCGCACGUAGGCGGAUCAGAAAGUCAGAGGUGAAAUCCCAGGG
This 553-nucleotide ribosomal RNA is filed under the name uncultured freshwater bacterium. Its description in RNAcentral is "bacterial SSU rRNA". It matches the Rfam family "Bacterial small subunit ribosomal RNA", at positions 8 to 607 of the family's 1533-position model. The record is from RNAcentral.